AUGAACGCUGGCGGCGUGCCUAAUACAUGCAAGUCGAGCGAACAGAUAAGGAGCUUGCUCCUUUGACGUUAGCGGCGGACGGGUGAGUAACACGUGGGUAACCUACCUAUAAGACUGGGAUAACUUCGGGAAACCGGAGCCAAUACCGGAUAAUAUUUCGAACCGCAUGGUUCGAUAGUGGAAGAUGGUUUUGCUAUCACUUAUAGAUGGACCCGCGCCGUAUUAGCUAGUUGGUAAGGUAACGGCUUACCAAGGCGACGAUACGUAGCCGACCUGAGAGGGUGAUCGGCCACACUGGAACUGAGACACGGUCCAGACUCCUACGGGAGGCAGCAGUAGGGAAUCUUCCGCAAUGGGCGAAAGCCUGACGGAGCAACGCCGCGUGAGUGAUGAAGGUCUUCGGAUCGUAAAACUCUGUUAUUAGGGAAGAACAUACGUGUAAGUAACUGUGCACGUCUUGACGGUACCUAAUCAGAAAGCCACGGCUAACUACGUG
This 496-nucleotide ribosomal RNA is filed under the name uncultured bacterium. RNAcentral's name for it is "partial 16S ribosomal RNA". It matches the Rfam family "Bacterial small subunit ribosomal RNA", at positions 29 to 507 of the family's 1533-position model. The record is from RNAcentral.